UCCAUCGAUACGUUACUUGACGCGUCUCCAUGGGACACAAGUCUGUUCUUUCUCUCAACAUCACGUCCUUUGUUUAUGACACCGUUAUCUUGGUAUGCAAAUUGCGUUCCGUUGUUCCGUGUCUCUUCGGCUUCUGAACCUUUCGUGAAGCCUUACGAAACUAUCUGCGUUCUCUCCUCCCCGUACUUCCCCCUGAACUUUAAAUGGGUACACGAGAAUCAGAC
Pelobates cultripes (western spadefoot toad) is the source of this 224-nucleotide non-coding RNA. NCBI's taxonomy places the organism in Eukaryota, Metazoa, Chordata, Amphibia, Anura, Pelobatidae. The record is from the annotation of a GenBank genome assembly.